Molecule: unclassified non-coding RNA, 263 nt
Filed under: Hevea brasiliensis (rubber tree)
Lineage: Eukaryota; Viridiplantae; Streptophyta; Magnoliopsida; Malpighiales; Euphorbiaceae
Source: RNAcentral
CUUAUUGUGACAAGAGGGAGCAGGUGAACUAUUUGGAGCAGCAAGUUUGAGUAACAAAAGAGCUGGAAUGUGUGCUUCUUUGACUUUAAUGCUAUUUCUUCUCAUUGGAGGUUACUAUGUCCAGGUAUUCUGUCCGGAACUCUCCUAAUCAGUAAUGGAUUCUUUCUUGUUUAUAUUUCAACUCUUCUUCAUUGCCCUGUGGCUCUACUUGAGCAGAAAAUGUUCCAAGGAUUUCAGAAACAACAUGAUAACUCAGGAAAAAG